This 1732-nucleotide ribosomal RNA is filed under the name Tectovalopsis fusilus. RNAcentral describes it as "bacterial SSU rRNA". The stretch from base 201 to 1732 matches the Rfam family "Eukaryotic small subunit ribosomal RNA". The record is from RNAcentral. Lineage: Eukaryota; Metazoa; Arthropoda; Malacostraca; Amphipoda; Alicellidae.
GGCUCGCAGUUGAAUGUCAGUACCGAGCGCAGGUCAGGUGGACGCUGGGGCGUGGGAACACAAGGCGCGUCGCUUCUCUGGUUCUGGUGUGCGCUCUCGUUCUUGUGCGUGUGUGCCCUUGGGUGCGCGGGUGCUCGUGCGUGUUGGGUGUGCCACGUUUCUUGGGGUUGCGUUCGUGUCUCUCACAAGCCCCCGUCCGUGACAAGCCUCCUCGCUUGCGUACAUAUCUGGAAUCGGUAAAUACAAUGGAGUGUGCGCGUGUGCGGUUCGGCUCAUCUUUUCCUCUGCUUUGCGUGUCUUCCUCUCUUACGUGUGCCUUCUUGCGCGCGUGAGUUGAACUGGGGAUCGCUCGGUAUGUCUAGCUCUGAGUGUGUGACUCGUGCUCGUGUACGUUAAAAGCUCCUUCGGUUUUAAAGUCACCUUGAGUAAAUCAGAGUGCUCAAAGCAGUCGUAAGGGCCUUGUGCCCUGUGAACAGUCUUGACGGACUGACUUGGUUUUGCAUGGCAUGUCGGAAGACGACGUCGUGUGCUGGCUCAGAGAUAUAAUCAGUGGUGCAAGCCAGCCUCGACGUACUGAUUAACAGGUUCGGUCGAGGGCAUUGGUAUUGCGGGGCGAGAGGUGAAAUUCUAUGACCCCCGCAAGACCUCCUGAAGCGAAAGCGUCUGCCAAGGACGUUCUCACUAAUCAUGAACGAAAGUUAGAGGAUCGAAGGCGAUCAGAUACCGCCCUAGUUCUAACCGUAAACGAUGCCAACCAUCAAUCCGCGCGUAGCACCCUUCUUAACGGGCUCGGCGGGCAGCUCCCCACUCACGGGAAACCAGAGUCUCUGGGUUCCGGGGGGAGUCUGGUUGCAAAGCUGAAACUUAAAGGAAUUGACGGAAAGGCACCACCAGGCGUGGAGCCUGCGGCUUAAUUUGACUCAACACGGGCCAUCUCACCAGGAGAGCACUCUUGUACGAUUGACAGAUUGAGAGCUCUUUCUCGAUUCAGUGGAUGGUGGUGCAUGGCCGUUCCUAGUUGGUGGAGUGAUCUGUCUGGUUAAUUCCGAUAACGUCCGAGACUCUCCCUGCUGACUAGUCGGUUGGAUCUGGUACGGUGAGUCGUGUGCCGGGAAAACCCGUGUCUUGCCGCAGGCGUCGUGGUGGUGGUUUUGUUUUGGAAGCGCGCACUUCUGAGUAGAGGGUCGAGCGCGCCAGCGUCUUUCAUCAUACUCUCAGUGUACAUUGCAUCUCUCCGGCUUUGGAUGCUGCUGUCUUCUCUGUUUUGUCUAUCUCUCCCGUGCCUCGAGCCACACACUCCAAGUCCGCCGCUUAUUCUAUAACUCUUCUUAGAGGGAUUCACGGUACUGAAGCCGUCAGAGACUGAGAGCAAUAACAGGUCUGUGAUGCCCUUAGAUGCUUUGGGCCGCACGCGCGCUACAAUGCCGGGCACAGCAGGUAGUUCUCCUGCUCCGACAGGAGCGGGUAACCCUCUGAAAGCCCUUGGUUUUGUCGUGUCUCGCGCACGCAUUCACCUCGUGAGUGUGUGUUUGUGGGAUACGAACGGCGUGAUGGGGCCUGGGACUUGCAAUUUUUUCCCACAAACGAGGAAUGCCUAGUAGCGGCGGGUCACUGAGCCCACCGUGACUCAGUCCCUGCCCUUUGUACACACCGCCCGUCGCUACUACCGAUUGGGUGUACCAGUGAGAGCCUUGGACUGGCGUCCGUUGUUGCCUUCGGGCAAGCGGGUCCG